Molecule: ribosomal RNA, 201 nt
Filed under: uncultured bacterium
Lineage: Bacteria
Description: partial 16S ribosomal RNA
Rfam family: Bacterial small subunit ribosomal RNA
Source: RNAcentral
GACGAACCGUGCGAACGUUAUUCGGAAUCAUUGGGCUUAAAGGGCGCGUAGGCGGCGGCGUAAGUUGGAAGUGAAAUCCCAUCGGCUCAACCGUGGAAUUGCUCCCAGUACUGCGUCGCUCGAGGGGGAUAGGGGUCUGCGGAACUACCGGUGGAGCGGUGAAAUGUGUUGAUAUCGGUGGGAACGCCAGUGGCGAAAGCG